AGAUCUGAUUCUGAAUUUUGCCUAGCUCCCCGAACCCUCGAGACCGACUUCUCUGCUUCCGGACCAGACGACGUAGCCGACGGCGGAGGUAGAAAGGAUGGCGGCGGCGGCGGGGGAAGGCGACAGCGUCGCGCCGGAGACCACCAGAGUGGAAGCGGCUUCUGAGCCACAACGGCGCGUCGCCACCCGCCAGGGCUUCAGCCCCGGGCACAUGUCGUUGGAGAAUUGCGCCUACGGCAUCGCCAAGGCUCUCAAAAAUCCGACGGUGCGGUUCCUGAAGGAGCGGAUGGAGAAGGACGGAUGCCCAAUGUGGCCGGGGCUCAUGAGGGCGGCAUUCUGCUCCAGUUCCGGGGGCUACGCGUCCAACCACGGGGUAAGGGUUUGCUGUAAUCACAUGAAAACUCAAGAUCAAAUAGAGCAGGUCAUAAUUCAUGAACUAAUACAUGCUUACGACGAUUGUGUCACCAAGAACGUCGACUGGAACAACUGCGCUCACCAUGCUUGUUCUGAGAUUCGUGCUAAUCACCUUAGUGGCAAUUGCCAUUUCAAACAAGAACUGUUGAGAGGAAUUAUGAAGAUCAGGGGGCAUGAGCCGGAAUGUGUCAAAAGACGUGCUCUGCUAUCUGUCAACCUCAACCCUAACUGCUCGGAGAAAGCUUCAGAAGAUGCAGUUAAGGCUGUGUGGGAUAUAUGCUACAAUGACACACGGCCAUUUGACAAGGCUCCAUGAAGUGCAAGUGUGUUCGAAAAUUCCUAUUAGAGCACGAGCGACAGCACGCUCGAUGGGCAGAAAGGAACCUCAAAAUUAAGUAUUGAAAAAAUCGAACCCCUUUGGAUAGGCAUUUAGAAUAAUGGAAGUCUGAUGAGAGUUACUUCAUCAAGACCAUUGCCUGCAUGUCGAAUUACAAUUGGCUUAGAGUUUGAAUACUCUCUUCGACCCAUAUUACUUGUUGAAAUACUACAUGUGGAGUAUUUAGACAUUUUUUAAACAUAGAUACAUCAUACAUCCAUGUUUGUGCAAAUUUGAGACAAAUAAUAUGGAUCGGAGGGAGUA
Brachypodium distachyon (stiff brome) is the source of this 1054-nucleotide RNA transcript. It is a transcript of the gene named mitochondrial inner membrane protease ATP23, with no coding region annotated. Lineage: Eukaryota; Viridiplantae; Streptophyta; Magnoliopsida; Poales; Poaceae. The transcript is spliced from 6 exons. The record is from RefSeq and is a predicted model, not a curated record.